GCCUAAAACUUUGCCAAUUUCUUUAGCUGCUCCACUGUCUCAGUCUCCCCCUUUUCUCUCUUCUCUCUACUCUCAUGAGAAUUUCACCAAUCCCUCUCUUGACAUCUCUAUCACCACACUCUCUAACUCUCUAUAUCUCUCAAUCGAACCUCUUUUUUGAGUUUUUUGGUUGAAUCACACAGCAGCAAUCGGUCUCUUUGCUUGCCCAUUUAAGACAUGUAAAGAGUAAGCAAUUUGGGCUAGUGUUCUUAUGGUGGAAGUAGUAAGCGAAGUAGUCACUAUUUUUUGGACAAAACUUUGAGGGAGAUUUGAAGAAUCAGAUACAAAUCACUUGCAAAUUGAAAGUGUGGCUUGGAGUGUCCACCUGACCAGAAGGAAAGGCAAAUAUAGUGAUUGCAAGGCUGAACUUGUGAAGAUAGUCAGUCCAUAUAUACAUGCAAAAUGAUGAAACGGUUGCUAAACCCGUGAAAGGAUUGAUUCUUGGUCCACUUGCAAGCUUUAUAUUUUGGUUGCUGAACCAUGAACAGAAAGGAUUGCAGGAGGCUCUUAUAGUAGUUUUGCUGCUGUGGCAUGUGCAGGACUACUAUGGGAUGCUGCUUUUAGUGUUGAUGGAUGAGGGACUAUGGACAUCCUUUUUGACAUGAUUUUAGAGCAAGUAGUAGCUCCAAAGGAUGCAAAUAUGUUUCCUGCAUAACCUGUAAAGUUGCUUUGUAGUCAUGUUUCUUGAGUGGCUCUAUUUUAAGUUUGCUGUUUAAUGAUUGGGAUAAAUGUUGAAUUCAUGCUUUUGUGGGUAAUUGUUCUUGGCAUUAUGUGUUUAUGUCAUGCUUUCUUUUCUGUUUCUUGUUCGCUUGAUAACUUUCUGACUUGAGGUAUCAAUGAGAUCUUAAAUCUUUCAUGUUAAGUGU
Coffea arabica (coffee) is the source of this 905-nucleotide long non-coding RNA. RefSeq lists it as uncharacterized. The record is from RefSeq and is a predicted model, not a curated record. NCBI's taxonomy places the organism in Eukaryota, Viridiplantae, Streptophyta, Magnoliopsida, Gentianales, Rubiaceae.